RNA transcript from Vigna angularis (adzuki bean), 3217 nucleotides. It is a transcript of the gene named protein METHYLENE BLUE SENSITIVITY 1-like, with no coding region annotated. The record is from RefSeq and is a predicted model, not a curated record. NCBI's taxonomy places the organism in Eukaryota, Viridiplantae, Streptophyta, Magnoliopsida, Fabales, Fabaceae. The transcript has 5 exons.
GGAAAGUUCUCGAGCCAUUCCCACAACUUUCCCUCCUCUCAGCUUUCCCUCUCGUCUCUUUCUCUCUCGAUCACAAAUCACCAUCACCGAGCCAUUCUUCACCGCCUCUUCCCUGAUUAUCUCUGCAAUGACAAGCUUCAGUCCAACCUGCAUGCCUCUCCAUUAUCGCCAAGAUGCCCAACGAAACAAGUUCGUCUAAAUGACAAACCCCUUUCGGUGGUCGAACACAAAUUAAGGUUCUCCCAUCCCUAGGGUUUACCUCUCCUAUUCCAAAUCACCCUCUUCCACCCCUAAAUCCAAACCGUUAAAGACAAAAGGAAUAGAAUCAUUUGUUGAUCUUCGGAGAGAGAGAGCCACACCUCGACGCGAUGACCGGGAAGGCGAAACCCAAGAAACACACGACUAAGGAGAUCGCGGCGAAGAUCGAUGCAGCCACUACCAACAGCGACGACGGUAAGGCGGGCUUGGCGGACCGGUCUGGUGUGGAGAAAGGCGGGCACUUGAAAUACGAGUGCCCGCUCUGUAAAGUCACGGUGCCUGACGUGAAAUUGAUGCAGAUUCAUCACGAGGCGCGUCACCCUAAGAUCCCCUCUGAGGAGGACAAGGUCGUCAACCUUCACGCCAUAAUCGCCAGCGAAUCGUCGAAGCCGCGUCCAAGCAUUCGCGGAAGCCACAAGAAAUGCUUAGAUUUUGAAAACGAGAUACUCUUUGCAUUUUUAACUUAGUCGUAUUUUUGGGAAGACUUAAGCUCUAACCAUGUCAUCUUCAAAUGACCACUAACCAGAAUGUUUUGGAUGUGGGGACUAGAAGUGGCAUUCUUGCUAUAUGGUCAGCUCAAGCAGGCGUGAGGAAGGUGUGUGCAGUGGAAGCGACGAAGAUGUCAGAACAUGCCUGUGCACUAGUCAAAGCGAAUAAUCUCCAGAAUGUAGUUGAGGUCAUCGAGGGAUCAAUGGAGGAUGUUACCUUGCUUGAGAAAGGAUUUGUGGUGGAAGAAAACAUGCUCGUGACCACUGGCUCAAACCGACAAGAGUGAUGUGUGGAGGCUAUAGUAAAAAGGAACCUGGUGAAGUACUGACACUUCAGAAGCGUGCUAAAUGAGGCAAGGUAUAAUGUUUGGAUCUUAACUUUUAAAAUAUAAGAGUUGUUUUCAGUGGAUUUGAUUCUCCAUUCAGUAAGAUGUGUUGGCCAGGCCCACUGAAUAUGUCUGAAAUUAUUUUUUUCUUUUUUAUCUCUAACAGUAAUAGAUGCAAGAAAAUAAUAUGUGAAAAUUCCAUAAUGUCAGCAUGUACCUUAAACCUUUGUUUUGUAGAAUUCAGAACGUUCUUUCUUUCUGAGGCCAUCUAACUAUUUGGACCAUUUUUUAUUCUUUGUCAAUUGUUUGACUACUGUCCCAAGAAUAAUUUGGAUGGUAAGAUUGUUAAGAGAGGGGAUUAUGCGAUAGCAGCAACGAGGGCAGUUUAUUAUGUUACCCCUGGCAAUCACAGUAGUGCCUCAAAGUGAAACAAGGUUAGUAUGAUUGUAUAUCUGGUAUAAUUGGACAUGGUAUUUCUUAUUGUAUUUAUUUUUGGUCUAAUAGAAGGAUACACGAAUGGGGUUCUGGUGUUAAUAAACUCUUGCAAUUUUUAUUUUAAUGAAUAUUAAAAUGGCAAUUUGCUCCUCCGAUUAAUACUAAUUUGAUUCUGAUGUUAAUAAUUUUAACUACUUUAUAAAUUUUUGCUAUUUUUGUUAUUAUAUCACGCAUUACUAUAUUAUAAAAUUGUGACUUAUAAAUACUUAAUUUGAAAAUUUAUUUUCUCUUAUGAUGUGACAAGAUAUAAUUCUUUACUAGCAAACAAGUUUAGUAAAAUUUUGCUGGAAAAUACUACUUGUAAAUAUUCAAUUGUCUCUAUUAUAAUUGAAAUGACUUAGACAUGAUCUUCGUUAUUCUCUUCAAUGAUUGUCCUGGUGGCAACCAACCUUAUAUAUCCUCGCCAAUGAUACUCUCUUUUUGCUGUAGGCCAGUGUUUAUCUUAAAACAAGUAAUUCAUGUUUAACUUUUUUUUCAGGGGCCAAGCUGAGAAAUAAUUUAAAGUAGAAGUAGAAGCUAUUGGUCGAGUGCGACAUAAAAAUCUUGUACAAUGAGUCAUUCAAACCUUGAUAAUUAAAAUGUCUUUUUCUUGAGCUACAUAUGUAAUAAUUUUUCACUUUCUAGCAUUAUUAGUAAGAAGAAAUAAUUGUUUGAUAACUUAUUACUCUUUAUAUUGAUAAUCAGUGGAAUAUAUAGCUUUGUUUUUUUUUCACUUACAUUGUCUAGAACAUGAGUUUUUGUUUAAUGUUAGGUGCUUGCAUUAAAGUAUUUGCAUUCCCUGCAUGGGUUGAAAUAGACACGUGGAAAGCUUGGUCUUGGUGCAAAGAUGGUAUUGAUUGAGGAGAAAUAGGUCCAGGGACUAAAUAGGAAGUUGAAGUACGGGCUUGCUUUGUACAUGCGGUGGAGAAAAUGCAAGAGCUAAUAAGUAAAAGUCAGGAAGACAGGUUAUUAAGGAAACAAUUGAUUCCAAUAUUACAAUAGAAUACAAGUCAAACACAGUUGAUGAUUUACAUAUGAGGAAGCCAGAUAUUAGCAAAGCGAAGGAACUGCUGAUUUGGGAACACAAAAUCUCACUUAAUGAUGAAAUUGGAUUCUGAAUAAAGAUGAAGGUAAAGGGAUGAAAUUUUCCUUUAGGAAGGAGAUUUAUUCUAAUCUUCCAUUUCAGGCUACGAAAGUUAAUUAGCUUUUAGAAAUGUUACCUUUAGAAGUUUAAUUAUAUAUUGAUUUACAAUAUGAAAAUCAAAGUUAAUUAGCUUUUAAAAAUGUUACCUUUAGCAGUUUAAUUGUAUAUUGAUUUACAAUAUGAAAAUCAACUAAGAUACACGUGAUUGUUAAUUUAUUUAGAUGUUCAUACUUAACUUCAUCCAUGUUUGUACACAGCUUGAUAUUAUUCAAACUAAAAAAAUAUUCAAUUGUGUAUGUUUAUUAUGUUGUAUUUUUAAGUAAUUUAUGAUUGAUUUAUGUAUUGCAUUAGUUGUAAAAGCAAUUUGAUGGUUGUAUUUAUCUCUAGUCAGAUAUAUAAAACUCCUAAAAGCAAUUUGGUGGUUGUAUUUAUCUUUAGUCAGAUAUAUAAAACUCCUAAAAGCAAUUUGGUGGUGUAAGGAUUACCUAAUUUUUUUUUUAUAAAACUAUAAAGUUAUAUACGGAUAU